Erpetoichthys calabaricus (reedfish) is the source of this 1445-nucleotide long non-coding RNA. RefSeq lists it as uncharacterized. NCBI's taxonomy places the organism in Eukaryota, Metazoa, Chordata, Cladistia, Polypteriformes, Polypteridae. The transcript is spliced from 4 exons. The record is from RefSeq and is a predicted model, not a curated record.
AUAUGUAUAUGUAUAUCUAUGUUUACAUAACCUCUUUAACACACUACUUCUCCGCUGCGAAGCGCGGGUAUUUUGCUAGUUGAUGAUAAAGGCAAUAAGGAUUUUCAUUUUUGGUUGCAAUACGACAUUCGUAAUCUUGUGGUUUAAAUGUGAAAGUUGCAGCAUUUUCUGUAUUUGGGUUAAUGGAUGUAUUUAAUUUAUUUCGUAACACCCUAUUAGCAUUUGGUGGUGUGUUUCUUUUAACAUUUCUUCACAUUUUUUAUCUUAAAGAGUGAACGGCAUGCUAUUUGUUCUGUCCUCUACUAAAAUGUGUUCAUAGGGGACCUGUAGUGGCUAAAUUAGGUAUUGUUUUAUACUGCUAUUAAGACUCCAUCUUGAAGCAAGCAGCACAUGGAGAAGCAGGUGGCAGACAUCCAUUUCCAUCCGCUGUUUAUUUGCCCUGUAAAGGCAUAAUCUGAUGCCUGGUGGUAACCAGCCUUCCAUGUGGUGCUGAACAGAUGCCAGUGUACCCAAAUUCUGAGACAAAACUGGACGUUCUUUUCUUCUGCUUUUAAGAUUUCCAAUUCGAGAUGAUGUGCAGUUCACGUUAGAUUUGCUAUUUUUACAGUUACAGUGAAGUAGAAGAGUCUGGCCGUGUUAUGGGGCAGCAGUUAAAGAAGAAGGAAGGAGAAAUGUGUGCCCUGUUGAAGUAGUGGCUGGUCCUCCUGUGCGCACUUCUAGAAUCCUCCAUCUCUACCUCUGCUCUGAUCUGCUGUGUCUUUGCCAAGUGAUCAUGAAUUUAUUGCAAUGGUGCCCUCCUGCAUCACCACUGUUUGUUACAUCAACUCAAACUGCCUGUGAUGCUGGAGAGAAGAAAAGUUCACAAGACGUCCUGAAAUGGAAUUGUGACUGGACUGAGACGGCCACAAUUAUGUAUGCUGGGAUGUGCAGAGGGGGCUGUGCAGGCUUUGGCUUGGGACCCCAGAGGUUUAUUAUCUCCGGCAACCUUGAAAGCUGCAAAUUUGUCUUUGUCCCUGGCCAUUUGACCAUGCAGUGUAUUUAUUAAAAAGGAGAAGGACCCAUCUAUUUACUUCUUAUUUACUUAUAUACCUUCAAUUUUCUUUGUAACUGUAUAUUUUUGUAGAGCAAUUUGAGCUACACUUGUAAGCAAAGGUGAUAUAAAAAUAUUAUUAGUGAACAAAUGUUAACGGACAGAUCAGGAAAAAUGUCAGUUUAAAUAGAACACAUUUUUUAUGGAAUAUUGCUGGUUAAUAACUCUGAGUAGUAUCUUGUUCAUAAAGCUAAAGUAGCAUUUUUCCUUUUUUGACAAAUUUAAUGAUUCACUUUUACUGUGUUCAAAACCUUGGCUAACAUUUUUUUUUAAUACUAAGGUAUAAAAAUCUGUAAAUAUGUUUGUGUUCCCUUUCCCUAAUAGUUUUUAACACCUGCCCAUUGUUGGCCAUUUU